GAGGGCGACAUUGGUGGCGUCGUCCUCUGCCCCCUUCCCCGGGGGCGAGAUGUCGGGGCUCAGCCACUUAGAGUCGGAAGGCUGCCGGAACCUACUCGGCAUGCUGGACAAUGACGAGAUCAUGGCCCUUUGCGACACCGUCACCAACCGCCUGGUGCAGCCUGUGGACCGCCAAGCAGGCAAAGGAAGAUAAAGAAGCUGAAAAGGUUGAUUUUCGUCGCUUAGGAGAAGAAUUUUGUCACUGGUUCUUUGAACUUCUUAAUUCUCAGAAUCCUUUUUUGGGACCACCUCAGGAUGAAUGGGGCCCACAGCACUUCUGGCAUGAUGUGAAGCUUAGGUUUUAUUAUAACACCUCAGAACAAAACAUGACAGACUACGAAGGAGCAGAAAUGGUGAGCCUUCGUUUACUGUCAUUGGUGAAAGAGGAAUUUCUUUUUCUCAGUCCCAACCUUGAUUCUCAAGGACUAAAAUGUGCGUCUUCUCCUCAUGGACUAGUUAUGGUUGGAGUUGCAGGGACUGUCCACCGCGGAAAUUCUUGUUUGGGCAUAUUUGAACAAAUUUUUGGACUUAUCCGUAGCCCUUUUGUAGAAAAUACUUGGAAAAUCAAAUUUAUUAACCUGAGAAUCGUUGGAGGAAGUUCCCUUGCUCCUGGAUCAUCGCUGAAACCAUCUGUAACAUUUGAACAGAGUGAUUUCG
RNAcentral lists this long non-coding RNA (696 nucleotides) under Rattus norvegicus (Norway rat). Its description in RNAcentral is "long non-coding RNA NONRATT006783". The record is from RNAcentral. Lineage: Eukaryota; Metazoa; Chordata; Mammalia; Rodentia; Muridae.